RNAcentral lists this ribosomal RNA (497 nucleotides) under uncultured bacterium. RNAcentral's name for it is "partial 16S ribosomal RNA". It matches the Rfam family "Bacterial small subunit ribosomal RNA", at positions 28 to 507 of the family's 1533-position model. The record is from RNAcentral.
GACGAACGCUGGCGGCGUGCCUAAUACAUGCCAGUCGAGCGAACGGACGAGAAGCUUGCUUUUCUGAUGUUAGCGGCGGACGGGUGAGUAACACGUGGAUAACCUACCUAUAAGACUGGGAUAACUUCGGGAAACCGGAGCUAAUACCGGAUAAUAUUUUGAACCGCAUGGUUCAAAAGUGAAAGACGGUCUUGCUGUCACUUAUAGAUGGAUCCGCGCUGCAUUAGCUAGUUGGUAAGGUAACGGCUUACCAAGGCAACGAUGCAUAGCCGACCUGAGAGGGUGAUCGGCCACACUGGAACUGAGACACGGUCCAGACUCCUACGGGAGGCAGCAGUAGGGAAUCUUCCGCAAUGGGCGAAAGCCUGACGGAGCAACGCCGCGUGAGUGAUGAAGGUCUUCGGAUCGUAAAACUCUGUUAUUAGGGAAGAACAUAUGUGUAAGUAACUGUGCACAUCUUGACGGUACCUAAUCAGAAAGCCACGGCUAACUACGUG